Molecule: ribosomal RNA, 253 nt
Filed under: uncultured bacterium
Lineage: Bacteria
Description: partial 16S ribosomal RNA
Rfam family: Bacterial small subunit ribosomal RNA
Source: RNAcentral
GACGAAGGGGACUAGCGUUGUUCGGAAUUACUGGGCGUAAAGCGAGUGUAGGUGGUUGUCGUAGUCAGGCGUGAAAGCCUUGAGCUCAACUCAAGAAAUGCGCUUGAUACUGGGCAGCUAGAGGACCGGAGAGGAUAGUGGAAUUCCCAGUGUAGUGGUGAAAUACGUAGAGAUUGGGAAGAACACCAGUGGCGAAGGCGGCUAUCUGGACGGUUUCUGACACUAAGACUCGAAAGCGUGGGGAGCAAACAGG